AUGAGUAACAUCGACUGCGCCAUGAUGUCCUGGAAUGUUAGGGGGCUGAACUCAGCAGCCAAAAGGGAAGUAGUUAGGGAGGCGGCAACGGCGCAUAAGCUAGCAGUUCUGUGUCUCCAGGAGACAAAGAUCAAAACCUGGACACAAGCUAUGGUGAAUGACAUUGGAGGAGGGUGGAUGAAGGACUGCGUGGUACUGCCUGCGUUAGGAUCUAGAGGAGGCAUAGCGAUUUUUUGGAAUAGAGAGCUGGUCACUGUGGCUUCUCAAGCCAUAGGUCAAUUCUCUAUCACGGCCACGGUUAGUUUAGUUGGAUCACCAUCUAGUUUCACCCUCACCUCG
Molecule: ribosomal RNA, 339 nt
Filed under: Triticum aestivum (bread wheat)
Lineage: Eukaryota; Viridiplantae; Streptophyta; Magnoliopsida; Poales; Poaceae
Description: partial small subunit ribosomal RNA
Source: RNAcentral